GGAGAGAUACCCAAGUGGCCAACGGGGGCAGACUGUAAAUCUGCUGGCUUUUGCCUUCGGAGGUUCAAAUCCUCCUCUCUCCA
Molecule: transfer RNA, 83 nt
Filed under: bacterium
Lineage: Bacteria
Description: tRNA-Tyr
Rfam family: tRNA
About the family: Transfer RNA (tRNA) molecules are approximately 80 nucleotides in length.
Source: RNAcentral